UACGUAGGAUGCAAGCGUUAUCCGGAAUGAUUGGGCGUAAAGCGUCUGUAGGUGGCUUUUUAAGUCUGCCGUCAAAUCCCAGGGCUUAACCCUGGACAGGCGGUGGAAACUACCAAGCUGGAGUACGGUAGGGGGGUCUGGAACUUCCGGUGGAGCGGUGAAAUGCGCAGAUAUCGGGAGGAACACCAAUGGCGAAGGCAGGUCUCUGGGCCACUACUGACGCUGAGAAGCGAAAGCGUGGGGAGCGAACAGG
RNAcentral lists this ribosomal RNA (253 nucleotides) under uncultured bacterium. RNAcentral's name for it is "partial 16S ribosomal RNA". It matches the Rfam family "Bacterial small subunit ribosomal RNA", at positions 524 to 776 of the family's 1533-position model. The record is from RNAcentral.